UUUUAAGGUAAAGACUCUGGAAGAUUAUUUAUGAAAUCCUUAAAAAUGUCUCUGCUUUGAGACUGCCCUUUCCUCAAAGUCGUACGCCCUAUAACAAGGCACCAUUGUACCUGCUCACACGAGCCUUAACACUGCCUCAGUGAUUAAUAGGACACUGCCAUAGUGGAGACAGAAGCAUGUUUUUAACAAAUUGCAACCCCAUCUUAGGAUCAGAACUGCAUGACACUCAGAAGAAGUGGCAACUGCACCAAAACUUAUCAGCUUUAUUUCUGUCUGCAGUGCCCUGAAAGGUAAUACAUAGCUGGACGGAUGUCUCCAGUACUUGCUAUCAAACCAUCAUUCUUUCAAACCUCCCGGAACUUAUAUAGUCAUCCUUUGACUGUUCUAAAUGCAUCAAGAUGCUUCCAUCCCACAAUUGUAAAACAGUUUUAGUGCCUUAUCCCUCUGACAUUUUCAGAAAGCAGAGAAAUCUGGUAGAAAGAUUCAUUUUUUGUGCUAUGUUGUCUUUCUCACUGUUUUUUCUGUAGUGUCUCUCUUACCUACAUACACUUUCUGAAAGACAUUCCUUCGUGUUCUCUUCCCUCCCACCUCUUGUCUGUUACAGUUUUUGCUCUCUUACUCUCUCCUCUCUUUCAUUCCAAUUCUUCACUUUCAUCUGCUUGCAAGAGUAGCCCAGAUAUUCCGAUGGAUCCAUAAAACGAAUACUGGGCCAAUACAACCAGUGAAAAACAGGGCACAAAGUUACCCAGAGGAACCAAGAACAAGGAGAAGAAACAUGAAAAGCCAGACCAAGUUCAUAUCACUGACUGGAGAUUUUCCUCGGUCUUUAAUUCUGUCAUCACGUGAUGGAUUAUUAAAAAGCUAAACCUCUGUUAAAUAAGGUAACCACAUACAGACAUUUCUUUGCAGUUCAUUUUCCAUUUUUCCACGCUUCAGCCUUCACGCUCUCUUGCAACUGAGUGGAGAAGAGAGGAAUUCUGAUUUUUCAAUUAUAGGCAUAGAAAAGGAAGGAAGAAAGGAGAGGAGAGGAGAGGAGAGGAGAGGAGAGGAGAGGGCCUGGGUGUAGUGAAAUUUGAAAUGGAUUCAAUAGAAGUAUAAAUAGUUGAUUAAAUAAAUUGGACUGGCUGAGAAUGUGAGGUGUCUCC
This 1145-nucleotide long non-coding RNA is filed under the name Coturnix japonica (Japanese quail). RNAcentral describes it as "lncRNA (ENSCJPG00005003878.1)". Lineage: Eukaryota; Metazoa; Chordata; Aves; Galliformes; Phasianidae. The record is from RNAcentral.